Molecule: ribosomal RNA, 442 nt
Filed under: uncultured bacterium
Lineage: Bacteria
Description: SSU rRNA
Rfam family: Bacterial small subunit ribosomal RNA
Source: RNAcentral
AGAGCGAACGCUGGCGGCAGGCCUAACACAUGCAAGUCGAGCGCCCCGCAAGGGGAGCGGCAGACGGGAGAGUAACACGUGGGAACGUACCCUUUGGUUCGGAACAACACAGGGAAACUUGUGCUAAUACCGGAUAAGCCCUUACGGGGAAAGAUUUAUUGCCAAAGGAUCGGCCCGCGUCUGAUUAGCUUGUUGGUGAGGUAACGGCUCACCAAGGCUACGAUCAGUAGCUGGUCUGAGAGGAUGAUCAGCCUCACUGGGACUGAGACACGGCCCAGACUCCUACGGGAGGCAGCAGUGGGGAAUAUUGGACAAUGGGCGCAAGCCUGAUCCAGCCAUGCCGCGUGGAUGAUGAAGGCCCGUAGGGUUGUAAAGUCCUUUCGACGGGAAGAUAAUGACGGUACCGUAGAAGAAGCCCGGCUAACUUCGCGCCAGCAGCCGC